AGAGAAUUGCUUUAACCCAGGAGUCGGAUGUUGAAGUGGGCUGAGAUUGCACCAUUGCAUUCCAGCCUGGGUGACAGAG
Molecule: small nuclear RNA, 79 nt
Filed under: Homo sapiens (human)
Lineage: Eukaryota; Metazoa; Chordata; Mammalia; Primates; Hominidae
Description: partial ncRNA
Source: RNAcentral